Homo sapiens (human) is the source of this 279-nucleotide non-coding RNA. The record is from RefSeq and is a predicted model, not a curated record. Lineage: Eukaryota; Metazoa; Chordata; Mammalia; Primates; Hominidae.
UAUCAGAGAGGUUAUGAAGACUUCCUGAAUGCUCAUUCAAGGUUGUACAAGAAGGAUGGCACCAGCAUCUGCAUCUGAUGAGGACCUCAGGGUGCUUCCACUUGUGGCAGAAGAAGGGGAGCCAGCAUGUGCAGAUACCACACGGCGAGAGAUGAAGGAAGAGAAAGAGGAGGAAGGUUCCAGGCUCUUUUUAACAAUCAGACCUCACAGGAACUAAUAGUGUGAGAAGAUGUUUAACAUAUUCUAAUAAGAUAUUCCUAAUAAACUGCCAUGAGAUAA